Long non-coding RNA from Neoarius graeffei (lesser salmon catfish), 627 nucleotides. RefSeq lists it as uncharacterized. The transcript is spliced from 3 exons. The record is from RefSeq and is a predicted model, not a curated record. Lineage: Eukaryota; Metazoa; Chordata; Actinopteri; Siluriformes; Ariidae.
AUUCAAGUGAAUAGCUUGAAAGAGUAAGAGGGUGUGUACGUAAAACAAAUGUCAACUACAGAGGACACAAGUCUAUGGGUUUGUUCUCAGGAGGCUAUUGGACCCUGUACCGGGUUUCUUGGGUUUAAUAAGGUCGUGGAGGAAGCUGGAGCCAAUCCUAACUGAUAUUGGGUGAGAUACGGGAUACAUCCUGGACAGGUCACCAAUCUAUCACAUUCACACCUACGGGAAAUUUGCAGUAGCCAGUUGAUCUAAUCCACAUAUCUUUGGACUGUUGGAGGAAACUGGAACACCCAGAGGAAACCCACAGAGGCAUGAGGAGAACAUGCAAACUCCCGGGUCAACCAGCAGGUUUAUCCUGGUCAGGCUUGUGGUGGAUCCAGAAUCAAUCCAAGGAACACUGAGCAUGAAGCAGGAAUACACCCAGGAUGUGAUGCCACACCCAUUCAUCCAAUCAUUCACACUUAGGGGUGAUAUGUAUUUUUGGGCGGUCGAAGGAAACUGGAGCACCAGGACAAAGCUCACAUGUACACCUGGAGAACAUGUGAUACUCCACAUAGAGCUCAGAAUCAAACCCAGGAGCUCCGAAGCAGCAAUGCAACCCAGUGCACCACAGUUCCACCCUAU